RNAcentral lists this ribosomal RNA (467 nucleotides) under uncultured bacterium. RNAcentral describes it as "partial 16S ribosomal RNA". It matches the Rfam family "Bacterial small subunit ribosomal RNA", at positions 28 to 507 of the family's 1533-position model. The record is from RNAcentral.
GACGAACGCUGGCGGCGUGCUUAACACAUGCAAGUCGAACGGAAAGGCCUCUUUCUUGCGGUACUCGAGUUGCCAACGGGUGAGUAACACGUUAGUAACCUGCCCUUCACUUUGUGUUAACUUCAUUAAACUGGCGCUAAUACCUGAUAGGAGCUCCUUCUGCCUGGUGGGGUUUGGAAAGUUUCGGCGUUUGGGUAUGUAUUCGCGGGUUAUCUGCUUUUUUGUGGGGUAUUGGGUUACCAAGGCUUUUACGGGUAGCCGGACUGGGAGGGUGACAGGCGACAUUGGGACUGAGAGAAGGCACAGACACGGAAGGGAGGAAGAAGUGGGGAAGAUUGAAGAAUGGGUGGAAGGCUGAUGAAGCAAAGCCGUGUGCGGGAAGACGGGCUUAGGGUUGUAAACAGAAUUGGAAAAUAACGAAGCAUUGUGUGACGGUAGUGGGUAAAGAAGCACCGGCUAACUACGUG